Molecule: unclassified non-coding RNA, 3238 nt
Filed under: Octopus sinensis (East Asian common octopus)
Lineage: Eukaryota; Metazoa; Mollusca; Cephalopoda; Octopoda; Octopodidae
Description: aTP-dependent 6-phosphofructokinase, transcript variant X1
Source: RNAcentral
UGAUGCUGAGAAAGGUCAGAGGAGCUUGACGGUUGCGAGAGAGAGAAGCAGGUAAGUGGCUGGUCGACAGACGAAGCUGUUAGUGACUGAUUGGUUGCGAAUUACCUGAGAUAAGCAUUUCAGCACCAAAAAUGGAAGCAAAGGAAGCUGCUCUGAAACAACGGAAGAGUACGUUUCAGAACGUACGAGCCGAGUUCAGUCGUAAGGACAGCGUGAUGGCAGUUCCAGGUCGAGAAGGUGCUUAUGUGGAGAAGGGUUCGUAUCAAGGCCGCGCCGUCGGCGUCUUCACCAGUGGAGGAGAUGCACAAGGAAUGAAUGCAGCCGUCCGGGCUGUUGUCCGGAUGGGAAUAUAUCUAGGAUGCAAAGUAUAUUUCAUCAAAGAGGGGUACCAAGGAAUGGUGGAUGGUGGAGAGAAUAUUGUGGAAGCAACUUGGGCACAGGUGUCCGGAAUGAUGAAUCUUGGUGGUACGGUAAUUGGUAGUGCACGAUGUAUGUCUUUUCGUGAAAGGGAAGGUCGUUUGACUGCUGCUCUCAAUUUGGUAAAACAGAACAUCACCAACUUAGUGGUUAUUGGAGGUGAUGGUAGUUUAACUGGUGCAAACAAAUUUCGUAUGGAAUGGCAGUCAUUACUACAAGAGCUCGUGGAACAAGGUCAUAUUACUAAAGACCGUAUGGAAUCAUGUAAACAUCUUAACAUUGCUGGCAUGGUUGGAUCGAUUGACAACGACUUUUGUGGAACUGACAUGACAAUUGGUACUGAUUCAGCCUUGCACAGAAUUAUGGAGGCUAUUGAUGCUAUUGCAACUACUGCGUCUAGCCAUCAGAGAUGCUUCGUUAUGGAAGUGAUGGGUCGACAUUGUGGCUAUUUAGCCUUAGUUGCUGCUUUGGCGAGUGAGGCUGAUUGGGUUUUCAUUCCUGAAUGGCCCCCAGAGCAAGGUUGGCAAGAUGUUCUUUGCAACAAAUUAGCUGUUGAGAGGACACUUGGUCAAAGGCUGAACAUCAUCAUUGUAGCUGAAGGAGCAAUUGACCGAGAGGGUAAUCCCAUCACAGGAGACAUGGUGAAGAAGCUGAUAUCUGAACGGCUUAAAUAUGAUACCAGAGUAACUGUCCUUGGUCAUGUUCAGAGAGGUGGCAAACCAUCUGCAUUCGAUCGUAUAUUGGGCUCCAGAAUGGGUGCAGAGGCAGUUUUAGCCUUAAUGGAAGCAACUCCAGAUACACCCGCCUGUGUCGUAUCCCUUGAAGGUAACCAAACUGUUCGAGUGCCACUGAUGGAAUGUGUUGAACGGACUCAAGCUGUUCAAAAGGCUAUGGAUGAGAAAAACUUUGAUGAAGCCGUUAGGUUGAGAGGAAGAAGUUUCUUAAACAACUUGCUAACAUAUAGAAAAUUAACCAAGUUGCGUCCACCAAGCUCUCGUUGUUCCGUUGGGGAUAACAGAAACUUAGCUCUUAUGAAUAUUGGUGCCCCUGCAUGUGGUAUGAAUGCUGCAAUGAGAUCUUUUGUUCGCCUUGGUAUUACUAAGGGAUACAAUGUUAUAGCAAUCCAUGACAGUUUUGAUGGUUUGCUGAACGACAAUGUGACUCCUAUGGCUUGGGAAGAGGUACGAAGUUGGACCAGCAAAGGUGGAUCCUUAUUGGGUACCAAAAAAAUGAUUGCUGGAAAAAUUGGCCUUGAGAAAAUUGCUGCCAAAUUUAUCAAACACAAAAUACAUGGUCUAUGUGUUAUUGGUGGCUUUGAGGCGUACCACAGUGUUGUCCAGCUAUGCGAAGCGCGUUAUCGUUUUCCUGCAUUCUGUAUCCCGAUGAUUGUUAUCCCUUGUACUAUCAGUAAUAAUAUCCCUGGGACAGAUUUUAGUUUAGGAGCAGACACAGCUCUUAAUGAAAUCACUGACAUUUGUGAUCGAAUCAAGCAAUCAGCUUUGGGUACUAAAAGAAGAGUUUUUAUUGUUGAAACUAUGGGUGGCUAUUGUGGCUACCUUGCUACCAUGGCUGGGUUGGCUGGAGGCGCUGAUGCUGCCUACAUCUAUGAAGAAAAUAUGACAAUCACAGAUUUAAGGAAUGAUGUAUUCCAUUUAAAGAAUAAGAUUAAAGACAUUGGAGUUCAGAGAGGUUUGAUUUUGAGGAAUGAAAAUGCUAAUUCUAACUAUACUACGGACUUCAUCUACCAAUUGUUCUCUGAAGAAGGAAAAGGUGUAUUUACAACUCGCAAAAAUGUCUUGGGUCAUAUGCAGCAAGGAGGUGUGCCAACACCAUUUGAUAGAAACUUUGGUACAAAAAUGGCUUCCAAAGCUAUUGACCAUCUAAUUGCACAAGUUGAAGAACAUACUCGCCCUGAUGGAACUGUCUUUACUUCACAGCUUGAGACUGCUACACUUCUUGGUAUGCAAAAACGUCACUUGUGCUUCACUCCAGUCAUGGAGCUAACUCAAUAUGCUAAUUUUGAGAAACGUAUUCCUAAAGAACAAUGGUGGCUAAAACUACGUUCACUGUUGAGAAUCUUGGCCAAGCAUGAAGCCGUGGCCUAUCACACAGAAGCCGUAUCUGCUGGUGUUGAUGAGACUUGGUGAAAAGGAUGAUAGGCCUGGGACAUUUUUUAAGCCAGUGCUCAACUAUUUCAGCUGAUCAAUGCCAACAAAUCAGCUAACAGGAGAAAACACAAGGGAAUUUCCAAGUAACCAUCAAUGAAUGACAAUUACUCUCUAGAUAUUGUUCAAUAGAACUUGGCAAACGAGGAUGAUGAGAAUCCAAAGGCUUUACGUCAACGCUUUUCUUUUGCAUAACUGAUACUGGUUAUUGAGUCACAGAAACUAUUACCUGACUUGGUAUUUAUAACAGACAGUGCUAUCAAGUUUUAUAAAAUCUCACUAAAAGCUAGGACCAGAGAUAAAGAAUUUCAACGUAGAAAAUUAUUUAGGAAUAACUUGGCUUCUUUCUCUUAUUUUUAUUGCAUUUUUGCAUGCAAGAUUUUCCUUUUUACAAAAUUCACUCACACACAUCACAUGCAUACAUGUACACACCACACACAUUAAAUAUUUUAUCUGAACCAUUUCUGCAUAUACACACACACACACACACACACACACACACACACAGUAGUAAGACACCCGGAUUACUGAAGCAUUGAUAAAACGCAAAUGUUUUUUUUUUUUGUUUUGUCUUUCUAAAUCUUUGACUUUUAGAUAUCAAAAUUGUAAAAUAUAUUUAUUAAAAAGAGCAACCAACUACUCUGAAUAACAUAUUU